This 497-nucleotide ribosomal RNA is filed under the name uncultured bacterium. RNAcentral describes it as "partial 16S ribosomal RNA". It matches the Rfam family "Bacterial small subunit ribosomal RNA", at positions 28 to 507 of the family's 1533-position model. The record is from RNAcentral.
GAUGAACGCUGGCGGCGUGCCUAAUACAUGCAAGUCGAGCGAACAGAUGAGGAGCUUGCUCCUCUGACGUUAGCGGCGGACGGGUGAGUAACACGUGGAUAACCUACCUAUAAGACUGGGAUAACUUCGGGAAACCGGAGCUAAUACCGGAUAAUAUAUUGAACCGCAUGGUUCAAUAGUGAAAGACGGUUUUGCUGUCACUUAUAGAUGGAUCCGCGCCGCAUUAGCUAGUUGGUAAGGUAACGGCUUACCAAGGCAACGAUGCGUAGCCGACCUGAGAGGGUGAUAGGCCACACUGGAACUGAGACACGGUCCAGACUCCUAAGGGAGGCAGCAGUAGGGAAUCGUCCGCAAUGGGCGAAAGCCUGACGGAGCAACGCCGCGUGAGUGAUGAAGGUCUUCGGAUCGUAAAACUCUGUUACUAGGGAAGAACAAAUGUGUAAGUAACUAUGCACGUCUUGACGGUACCGAAUCAGAAAGCCACGGCUAACUACGUG